GACGAACGCUGGCGGCGUGCUUAACACAUGCAAGUCGAACGAAGAGCGAUGGAAGCUUGCUUCUAUCAAUCUUAGUGGCGAACGGGUGAGUAACGCGUAAUCAACCUGCCCUUCAGAGGGGGACAACAGUUGGAAACGACUGCUAAUACCGCAUACGAUCCAAUCUCGGCAUCGGGACUGGAUGAAAGGUGGCCUCUAUUUAUAAGCUAUCACUGCAGGAGGGGAUUGCGUCUGAUUAGCUAGUUGGAGGGGUAACGGCCCACCAAGGCGAUGAUCAGUAGCCGGUCUGAGAGGAUGAUCGGCCACAUUGGGACUGAGACACGGCCCAGACUCCUACGGGAGGCAGCAGUGGGGAAUCUUCCGCAAUGGACGAAAGUCUGACGGAGCAACGCCGCGUGAGUGAUGACGGCCUUCGGGUUGUAAAGCUCUGUUAAUCGGGACGAAUGGUUCUUGUGCGAAUAGUGCGAGGAUUUGACGGUACCGGAAUAGAAAGCCACGGCUAACUACGUG
RNAcentral lists this ribosomal RNA (510 nucleotides) under uncultured bacterium. RNAcentral's name for it is "partial 16S ribosomal RNA". It matches the Rfam family "Bacterial small subunit ribosomal RNA", at positions 28 to 507 of the family's 1533-position model. The record is from RNAcentral.